This 253-nucleotide ribosomal RNA is filed under the name uncultured bacterium. RNAcentral's name for it is "partial 16S ribosomal RNA". It matches the Rfam family "Bacterial small subunit ribosomal RNA", at positions 524 to 776 of the family's 1533-position model. The record is from RNAcentral.
UACGUAGGGUGCGAGCGUUAAUCGGAAUUACUGGGCGUAAAGCGUGCGCAGGCGGUUUUGUAAGACAGGUGUGAAAUCCCCGGGCUUAACCUGGGAACUGCAUUUGUGACUGCAAGGCUAGAGUGCGGCAGAGGGGGGUAGAAUUCCACGUGUAGCAGUGAAAUGCGUAGAGAUGUGGAGGAAUACCGAUGGCGAAGGCAGCCCCCUGGGUCGACACUGACGCUCAUGCACGAAAGCGUGGGGAGCAAACAGG